CCUACGGGAGGCAGCAGUAGGGAAUCUUCCACAAUGGGCGAAAGCCUGAUGGAGCAACGCCGCGUGGGUGAAGAAGGUCUUCGGAUCGUAAAACUCUGUUGUUAGAGAAGAAAGUGCGUGAGAGCAACUGUUCACGUUUCGACGGUAUCUAACCAGAAAGCCACGGCUAACUACGUGCCAGCAGCCGCGGUAAUACGUAGGGGGCAAGCGUUAUCCGGAUUUAUUGGGCGUAAAGGGAACGCAGGCGGUCUUUUAAGUCUGAUGUGAAAGCCUUCGGCUUAACCGGAGUAGUGCAUUGGAAACUGGGAGACUUGAGUGCAGAAGAGGAGAGUGGAACUCCAUGUGUAGCGGUGAAAUGCGUAGAUAUAUGGAAGAACACCAGUGGCGAAGGCGGCUCUCUGGUCUGUAACUGACGCUGAGGUUCGAAAGCGUGGGUAGCAAACAGGAUUAGAUACCCGUGUAGUC
Molecule: ribosomal RNA, 465 nt
Filed under: uncultured bacterium
Lineage: Bacteria
Description: partial 16S ribosomal RNA
Rfam family: Bacterial small subunit ribosomal RNA
Source: RNAcentral